RNAcentral lists this ribosomal RNA (253 nucleotides) under uncultured bacterium. RNAcentral's name for it is "partial 16S ribosomal RNA". It matches the Rfam family "Bacterial small subunit ribosomal RNA", at positions 524 to 776 of the family's 1533-position model. The record is from RNAcentral.
UACGGAGGGUGCGAGCGUUGUCCGGAAUCAUUGGGCGUAAAGGGCGCGUAGGUGGCCCGGUCAGUCCGUGGUGAAAGCGCGGGGCUCAACCCCGCGUCGGCCAUGGAUACUGCUGGGCUGGAGCACUGUAGAGGCAGGCGGAAUUCCGGGUGUAGCGGUGGAAUGCGCAGAGAUCCGGAAGAACACCGGUGGCGAAGGCGGCCUGCUGGGCAGUUGCUGACACUGAGGCGCGACAGCGUGGGGAGCAAACAGG